RNAcentral lists this transfer RNA (87 nucleotides) under Cenarchaeum symbiont of Oopsacas minuta. RNAcentral describes it as "tRNA-Ser". It matches the Rfam family "tRNA". Rfam says of the family: Transfer RNA (tRNA) molecules are approximately 80 nucleotides in length. Their secondary structure includes four short double-helical elements and three loops (D, anti-codon, and T loops). Further hydrogen bonds mediate the characteristic L-shaped molecular structure. tRNAs have two regions of fundamental functional importance: the anti-codon, which is responsible for specific mRNA codon recognition, and the 3' end, to which the tRNAs corresponding amino acid is attached (by aminoacyl-tRNA synthetases). tRNAs cope with the degeneracy of the genetic code in two manners: having more than one tRNA (with a specific anti-codon) for a particular amino acid; and 'wobble' base-pairing, i.e. permitting non-standard base-pairing at the 3rd anti-codon position. Lineage: Archaea; Thermoproteati; Nitrososphaerota; Candidatus Cenarchaeales; Candidatus Cenarchaeaceae. The record is from RNAcentral.
GCAGAGGUCGCCUAGCCUGGUAGGGCGCGGGCCUUGAGAGCCUGUGUGAGUAAUCACACGAGGGUUCGAAUCCCUCUCUCUGCGCCA